UGGCUAAUACUGCAAAGUUUGGGAUGCACAAUCUACAAAACCCCACAGCCCCUGAGAAUUCUCUCGCCUGCCUUCGGCCCUUAGGCUCCGGGAGAUUGCAAAUAACCUGCUUUCUUUCUGUUCCCAGGUGGCGUCGGACCCCUGUCAGAGAGUAAAUCUCAAGUAAGGUACCUGCCAUCGGCAGAUUUGAGCUUUCUUCUUGGACACCUAAUACCCACAGUCCUCCAGGCUCCGGUAGACUGCAAAUGACCUGCUUUCUUUCUGUUCCCGGGCUGCGUUUGGACCCCUGUCGGAUAGUAAAUCCCAAGUAAGGUACCUGCCCUCGGCAGAUUUGAGCUUUCUUCUUGGACACCUAAUACCCACAGUCCCCCAGGCUCCGGUAGACUGCAAAUGACCUGCUUUCUUUCUGUUCCCGGGCUGCGUUUGGACCCCUGUCGGACAGUAAAUCCCAAGCUGUAGAUGAAGGGGUUCAGCAUGGAGGUGAUCACCGUGUACAUCACUGAGGCCACUGCAGCCUUUCUCGGGGAAGAUGACACAUCUGAACUGAGGUACCCUCCAAAGCCUGUUCCGUAAAAUCAGCAAACAACUGACAGGAUAACUUCAGGAAGUGGGUAUUAAUUCUCACGGUAUAAGUGAAGACAUUAAGCACCAGAGUUUAAGUAGCUUGAUCCACUGAAAGAGAUUCAACUGUGUGGAACCUAUGCCGUGGAGAAUUGCUUUCUGCCAUUGUUAUCGUCCAGCAGUUGCCGAAUAGCUCUGACCUGAGCAAAGCAGUGAAACGCGGUGCUGUUGAGUGGGUUGCCACUGCACCUUUUUCAACUACUCUAGUCUUGUGGAGAAAAUACCCCUUCUAAAUUUUUUCUUCAUUGAAUACUCUCCCUCAGCUCCAGAGUACCAUAUAGAGUUUUCUUGUAUUUUAGAGUUACUGUUUUAUCAAAGUUUACCAGUCUUUUGUAUUACAUUUCUCCUGUCUAAAUCGACUGUGUGGUUUCUACUCAUUAUGGAUAUAGAUUGAUACAAACUCAAUAAAUAUUUUUGAAUGAAUAA
Homo sapiens (human) is the source of this 1047-nucleotide long non-coding RNA. Ensembl annotates it as long intergenic non-protein coding RNA 1198. The record is from Ensembl. Lineage: Eukaryota; Metazoa; Chordata; Mammalia; Primates; Hominidae.